Molecule: ribosomal RNA, 446 nt
Filed under: uncultured bacterium
Lineage: Bacteria
Description: partial 16S ribosomal RNA
Rfam family: Bacterial small subunit ribosomal RNA
Source: RNAcentral
CCUACGGGGAGCAGCAGUCGAGAAUCAUUCACAAUGGGGGAAACCCUGAUGGUGCGACGCCGCGUGGGGGAAUGAAGGUCUUCGGAUUGUAAACCCCUGUCAUGUGGGAGCAAAUUAAAAAGAUAGUACCACAAGAGGAAGAGACGGCUAACGCUGUGCCAGCAGCCGCGGUAAUACAGAGGUCUCAAGCGUUGUUCGGAAUCACUGGGCGUAAGGCGUGCGUAGGCUGUUUCGUAAGUCGUGUGUGAAAGGCGCGGGCUCAACCCGCGGACGGCAUAUGAUACUGCGAGACUAGAGUAAUGGAGGGGGAACCGGAAUUCUCGGUGUAGCAGUGAAAUGCGUAGAUAUCGAGAGGAACACUCGUGGCGAAGGCGGGUUCCUGGACAUUAACUGACGCUGAGGCACGAAGGCCAGGGGAGCGAAAGGGAUUAGAUACCCGAGUAGUC